CAGUUUGACUGGGGCGGUCGCCUCCCAAAGAGUAACGGAGGCGUUCAAAGGUUCCCUCAGAAUGGUUGGAAAUCAUUUGCAGAGUGUAAAGGCACAAGGGAGCUUGACUGUGAGACCUACAAGUCGAGCAGGUGCGAAAGCAGGACUUAGUGAUCCGGUGGUUCCGCAUGGAAGGGCCAUCGCUCAACGGAUAAAAGCUACCCUGGGGAUAACAGGCUUAUCUCCCCCAAGAGUCCACAUCGACGGGGAGGUUUGGCACCUCGAUGUCGGCUCAUCGCAUCCUGGGGCUGUAGUCGGUCCCAAGGGUUGGGCUGUUCGCCCAUUAAAGCGGUACGCGAGCUGGGUUCAGAACGUCGUGAGACAGUUCGGUCCCUAUCCGUCGUGGGCGUAGGAAAUUUGAGAGGAGCUGUCCUUAGUACGAGAGGACCGGGAUGGACGUAUCAAUGGUGUACCAGUUGUCACGCCAGUGGCAUAGCUGGGUAGCUAAAUACGGAAGGGAUAAGAGCUGAAAGCAUCUAAGCAUGAAGCCCCCCUCGAGAUGAGAUUUCCCACGGAUAUUAAGACCCCUUGAAGACGACAAGGAGAAUAGGUUAGGAGUGUAAGCACGGUAACGUGUUCAGCUGACUAAUACUAAUAGGUCGAGGACUUAAUCAAG
This 655-nucleotide ribosomal RNA is filed under the name Gemella haemolysans. RNAcentral describes it as "partial 23S ribosomal RNA". It matches the Rfam family "Bacterial large subunit ribosomal RNA", at positions 2266 to 2925 of the family's 2925-position model. Lineage: Bacteria; Bacillati; Bacillota; Bacilli; Caryophanales; Gemellaceae. The record is from RNAcentral.